AUGAAUCUGUCAUGGCUCCGCGAUCGAUCCUAGUUCUCCGCUAAAAUCACGGGAAAACAUGAGAAAUAUGUUGCGCUAUGCGCUAAAUGACGUCUCUCGCGUGUUCUGUACGUUGUAACAAUUAUAUUCGGCUAUACAGUCAGCGCGGUCAGUGUAUUUUCUCUGAGUUUUCAGCGUUUCUAAAUUUAUUCCCUGUCAAACGGGGCGACACAUAAAAUUUUUCACGGGAGCAAGAGCCAACUUGCGAGAGGGAUUCGCCCUUCAAGCACCAGGCGGCGCAGCAGUCGAAUAGAUCAGAGUCGUCAUCAUCAUCGGC
Molecule: long non-coding RNA, 316 nt
Organism: Ostrinia nubilalis (European corn borer)
Lineage: Eukaryota; Metazoa; Arthropoda; Insecta; Lepidoptera; Crambidae
Exons: 3
Source: RefSeq, a predicted model, not a curated record